Oryza brachyantha (malo sina) is the source of this 73-nucleotide non-coding RNA. Lineage: Eukaryota; Viridiplantae; Streptophyta; Magnoliopsida; Poales; Poaceae. The record is from Rfam.
AAGGUGCCUGGGAUGGCAUUAAAUAUACUUUGAGCUUUUCAGCUAUGAAAAACAUUUUAAUCCGAGGCAAUCA